UCUUCGGCAUCUUCAUCUUCUUCUUCUCAUUCUCAUUCUUUUUUUUUCUUUUUCUUUUUCUAUUUGAGUUUGAUUAUGGCUAGUGAUUUUGGGUACGCAAUUUUGGUGGUGAUUUUGCGCAGAUUUUUCCACUACAUGGAUGGUGAUUUUAGGGCUCUCCAUUGACUGGUCCUGCUGCUACUUCUUCUUCUUCAACACCUUGUUCUUCUUGCUGAUCCACUCGCAGAUCCAAGCACCGAUCCACUUUCUCUGUCUCUGUUGGUUCUUGCAUCUUUGACUCUUGAGUGGGAGCUUCCAUUGGUGCUUCAUUAAUUGGUGUUCGAAAUUGAUAUUAUAGUGCGCAUAGGAACUCCAUCCACUUGGUGCAUUGAUAGGAGUUGUAUUGACUUGAUAGAAGUAUGUGGUGAGAGUGUGUGUGUGUGUGUGUGUGUGUGUGUGUGUGUAUUGAGCUUCUAUGUGUGCAUAUACAUGUAUGUUAGUGCUGAGCAUAUUAAUUGGAAGUUAGUUAUAGGAAGUUAGUUACUAUGCUAGCUGUAUGUGCUAGCUAAGGGUGGGCUGAUGAGUUUAACUGAUUGUAACUACUAGAUUGUAUUGCACUAAGCUGUAUAUAAGGUAAAGAAGGGUGUAUGAGAAGUUUAAGCAGAAAUAAUACCAAUUUUCCUUGACUCA
Molecule: long non-coding RNA, 669 nt
Organism: Quercus robur (English oak)
Lineage: Eukaryota; Viridiplantae; Streptophyta; Magnoliopsida; Fagales; Fagaceae
Exons: 2
Source: RefSeq, a predicted model, not a curated record